GUCUCCGUGGCGCAGUUGGAGAGCGCGCCGGGUUGCGGACCCGGAGGUCGCAGGUUCGAGUCCUGCCGGAGAUG
This 74-nucleotide transfer RNA is filed under the name Actinomadura soli. It matches the Rfam family "tRNA". From Rfam's summary of the family: Transfer RNA (tRNA) molecules are approximately 80 nucleotides in length. Their secondary structure includes four short double-helical elements and three loops (D, anti-codon, and T loops). Further hydrogen bonds mediate the characteristic L-shaped molecular structure. tRNAs have two regions of fundamental functional importance: the anti-codon, which is responsible for specific mRNA codon recognition, and the 3' end, to which the tRNAs corresponding amino acid is attached (by aminoacyl-tRNA synthetases). tRNAs cope with the degeneracy of the genetic code in two manners: having more than one tRNA (with a specific anti-codon) for a particular amino acid; and 'wobble' base-pairing, i.e. permitting non-standard base-pairing at the 3rd anti-codon position. RNAcentral also lists the same sequence under 4 other names. The record is from Rfam by way of RNAcentral. Lineage: Bacteria; Bacillati; Actinomycetota; Actinomycetes; Streptosporangiales; Thermomonosporaceae.